Molecule: ribosomal RNA, 324 nt
Filed under: Triticum aestivum (bread wheat)
Lineage: Eukaryota; Viridiplantae; Streptophyta; Magnoliopsida; Poales; Poaceae
Description: partial small subunit ribosomal RNA
Source: RNAcentral
AUGUAUAAACUUUUUCAUCAGAGUUACAGUUUAUUUUGUAAGAUUUUCCAAAGAUUUAACAAUACCCGAAAAAACCCUGAAAUUUCACCAAUUCCGAGAAUUCAUCAGUUUUUUAAACAUCAGUUAGCUGUUUCCAAAAGGCUACAACUAUGGAUCUGUACCUCCUAUGAGUUUGUGCCUUAUAUCAAUUUUGAACAUUUUUCUGUGAUCUACAUGUUAGUACCAAUUACAUCCAUAUUAGAGUUCAUUUGCUUGAUCAGCAACAACACUAAAGUAGCUAUGGAAAUAAAGUUGUUUUCGGUUUUUCUGUUAACAGAACAUUGA